RNAcentral lists this ribosomal RNA (380 nucleotides) under uncultured bacterium. RNAcentral's name for it is "bacterial SSU rRNA". It matches the Rfam family "Bacterial small subunit ribosomal RNA", at positions 30 to 396 of the family's 1533-position model. The record is from RNAcentral.
AUUGAACGCUGGCGGCGUGCCCAACACAUGCAAGUCGAGCGGUAACAGGUGUAGCAAUACAUGCUGACGAGCGGCGAACGGGUGAGUAAUGCUUCGGAAUCUGCCCAUGUAGUGGGGAAUAACCAGCCGAAAGGUUGGCUAAUACCGCAUACGACCCUUGCCCACAAGGCAAAGGUGAAAGCAGGGGAUCGCAAGACCUUGCGCUAUUGGANGAGCCGAAGUCGGAUUAGCUAGUUGGUAGGGUAACGGCCUACCAAGGCGACGAUCCGUAGCUGGUCUGAGAGGACGACCAGCCACACUGGGACUGAGACACGGCCCAGACUCCUACGGGAGGCAGCAGUGGGAAUAUUGGGCAAUGGGGAAACCCUGACCCAGCGACG